Molecule: ribosomal RNA, 253 nt
Filed under: uncultured bacterium
Lineage: Bacteria
Description: partial 16S ribosomal RNA
Rfam family: Bacterial small subunit ribosomal RNA
Source: RNAcentral
UACGAGGGGGGCAAGCGUUGUUCGGAAUUACUGGGCGUAAAGCGUGCGCAGGCGGUCCGCAAAGUCUGAUGUGAAAGCCCCGGGCUCAACCUGGGAACUGCAUUGGAAACUAACGGGCUCGAGUGUGGCAGAGGGGGGUGGAAUUCCACGUGUAGCAGUGAAAUGCGUAGAGAUGUGGAGGAACACCGAUGGCGAAGGCAGCCCCCUGGGCUAACACUGACGCUCAGGCACGAAAGCGUGGGGAGCAAACAGG